AGCAGCCGCGGUAAUUCCAGCUCCAAUAGCGUAUAUUAAAGUUGUUGCAGUUAAAAAGCUCGUAGUUGAAUUUCGAGAUCAGUACGCUGGUCGUGCCUUCGGUAUGCACUGGUGUCACUGAUUUCUCCCUUCUGAAGAACCGUAAUGCCAUUCAGUUGGUGUGGCGGGGAAUCAGGAUUGUUACUUUGAAAAAUUAGAGUGUUUAAAGCAGGCUCGCGCUUGAAUACAUUAGCAUGGAAUAAUGAAAUAGGACUUUGAUCCUAUUUUGUUGGUUUCUAGGAUCGACGUAAUGAUUAAUAGGGAUAGUUGGGGGCAUUAGUAUUCAAUUGUCAGAGGUGAAAUUCUUGGAUUUAUUGAAGACUAACUACUGCGAAAGCAUUUGCCAAGGAUGUUUUCAUUAAUCAAGAACGAAGUUAGGGGAUCGAAGACGAUCAGAUACCGUCGUAGUCU
Molecule: ribosomal RNA, 450 nt
Filed under: uncultured Glomus
Lineage: Eukaryota; Fungi; Glomeromycota; Glomeromycetes; Glomerales; Glomeraceae
Description: SSU rRNA
Rfam family: Eukaryotic small subunit ribosomal RNA
Source: RNAcentral